RNAcentral lists this ribosomal RNA (761 nucleotides) under Prevotella melaninogenica. RNAcentral describes it as "bacterial SSU rRNA". It matches the Rfam family "Bacterial small subunit ribosomal RNA", at positions 28 to 776 of the family's 1533-position model. Lineage: Bacteria; Pseudomonadati; Bacteroidota; Bacteroidia; Bacteroidales; Prevotellaceae. The record is from RNAcentral.
GAUGAACGCUAGCUACAGGCUUAACACAUGCAAGUCGAGGGGAAACGGCAUUAAGUGCUUGCACUUUUUGGACGUCGACCGGCGCACGGGUGAGUAACGCGUAUCCAACCUUCCCAUGACUAAGGGAUAACCUGCCGAAAGGCAGACUAAUACCUUAUGGUCUUCACUGACGGCAUCAGAUGUGAAGUAAAGAUUUAUCGGUUAUGGAUGGGGAUGCGUCUGAUUAGCUUGUUGGCGGGGUAACGGCCCACCAAGGCAACGAUCAGUAGGGGUUCUGAGAGGAAGGUCCCCCACAUUGGAACUGAGACACGGUCCAAACUCCUACGGGAGGCAGCAGUGAGGAAUAUUGGUCAAUGGGCGAGAGCCUGAACCAGCCAAGUAGCGUGCAGGAUGACGGCCCUAUGGGUUGUAAACUGCGUUUGUAUGGGGAUAAAGUCAAUCACGUGUGAUUGUUUGCAGGUACCAUACGAAUAAGGACCGGCUAAUUCCGUGCCAGCAGCCGCGGUAAUACGGAAGGUCCGGGCGUUAUCCGGAUUUAUUGGGUUUAAAGGGAGCGUAGGCUGGAGAUUAAGUGUGUUGUGAAAUGUAGGCGCUCAACGUCUGACUUGCAGCGCAUACUGGUUUCCUUGAGUACGCACAACGUUGGCGGAAUUCGUCGUGUAGCGGUGAAAUGCUUAGAUAUGACGAAGAACUCCGAUUGCGAAGGCAGCUGACGGGAGCGCAACUGACGCUGAAGCUCGAAGGUGCGGGUAUCGAACAGG